GAGCUCGGUGGUAGAGCAUUUGCCUUGCAUACAAAAGCUCCUGAGUUCAAUCCCUGGCAUCUUCA
Molecule: non-coding RNA, 65 nt
Organism: Podarcis lilfordi (Lilford's wall lizard)
Lineage: Eukaryota; Metazoa; Chordata; Lepidosauria; Squamata; Lacertidae
Source: the annotation of a GenBank genome assembly